This 253-nucleotide ribosomal RNA is filed under the name uncultured bacterium. Its description in RNAcentral is "partial 16S ribosomal RNA". It matches the Rfam family "Bacterial small subunit ribosomal RNA", at positions 525 to 776 of the family's 1533-position model. The record is from RNAcentral.
ACGUAGGGGGCAAGCGUUGUCCGGAAUCAUUGGGCGUAAAGAGCUCGUAGGCGGUUCAGUAAGUCAGGUGUGAAAGCUCCGAGCUCAACUCGGAGAGGCCACCUGAUACUGCUGUGACUAGAAUCCAGUAGGGGAGUGUGGAACUCCUGGUGUAGCGGUGAAAUGCGCAGAUAUCAGGAAGAACACCAGCGGCGAAGGCGGCACUCUGGGCUGGAAUUGACGCUGAGGAGCGAAAGUGUGGGUAGCAAACAGG